RNAcentral lists this ribosomal RNA (499 nucleotides) under uncultured bacterium. Its description in RNAcentral is "bacterial SSU rRNA". It matches the Rfam family "Bacterial small subunit ribosomal RNA", at positions 17 to 507 of the family's 1533-position model. The record is from RNAcentral.
UCCUGGCUCAGGUAUGAACGCUAGCGGCAGGCUUAAUACAUGCAAGUCUGGGGCAGCAGGUUUGUAGCAAUACAGAUGCUGGCGACCGGCAAACGGGUGCGGAACACGUACAGAACCUUCCUUUGAGCGGGGAAUAGCCCAGAGAAAUUUGGAUUAAGUACCCCCAUAGUAUAAUGAAGUGGCAUCACUUUAUUAUUAAAGAUUUAUCACUUGAAGAUGGCUGUGCGGCUGAUUAGGUAGUUGGCGGGUAACGGCCCACCAAGCCUGCGAUCAGUAACUGGUGUGAGAGCAGACCAGUCACACGGGCACUGAGACACGGGCCCGACUCCUACGGGAGGCAGCAGUAAGGAAUAUUGGUCAAUGGACGAAAGUCUGAACCAGCCAUGCCGCGUGGAGGAUGAAGGUCCUCUGGAUUGUAAACUUCUUUUAUAUGGGACGAAAAAAGGCCUUUCUAGGUCGUCUGACGGUACCAUAUGAAUAAGCACCGGCUAACUCCGUG